GACUGACACAUAUCUUAUUUCUAGGAUAUGAUUUUAUACUUAUUAGAUAUUUAUAUUACCAUUUAUAUUUUAUGUAUCCAUGAAUCAUCCAAGAGAUUAACAAGAUAAUGAUAUAUAUUCUCAAAGAGUUGAGAAUUUAAGACAUGUGUCAUUGAUGGUUAAUUCCUAAAUUACUCUUGAUCAUAGGAUUAUCAUGGGGAUGGUGAUUGAUCCAGAUAGAUCAGUGCAUGGAUCACUUCCUUCGGAC
RNAcentral lists this long non-coding RNA (247 nucleotides) under Elaeis guineensis (African oil palm). RNAcentral describes it as "long non-coding RNA (EGUI_LNC019910)". Lineage: Eukaryota; Viridiplantae; Streptophyta; Magnoliopsida; Arecales; Arecaceae. The record is from RNAcentral.